Molecule: ribosomal RNA, 576 nt
Filed under: Gibellulopsis nigrescens
Lineage: Eukaryota; Fungi; Ascomycota; Sordariomycetes; Glomerellales; Plectosphaerellaceae
Description: eukaryotic LSU rRNA
Rfam family: 5.8S ribosomal RNA (bases 187-340)
Source: RNAcentral
AACGUAACAAGGUCUCCGUUGGUGAACCAGCGGAGGGAUCAUUACCGAGUACUAUAACUCAUAACCCUUUGUGAACCUUCAUACCUGUUGCUUCGGCGGCGCGCCUCUCGGGGCGUGCCCGCCGGCAUUAUCAGAAUCUCUGUUCGAACCCGACGAUACUUCUGAGUGUUCUAAGCGAACUGUUAAAACUUUCAACAACGGAUCUCUUGGCUCCAGCAUCGAUGAAGAACGCAGCGAAACGCGAUAUGUAAUGUGAAUUGCAGAAUUCAGUGAAUCAUCGAAUCUUUGAACGCACAUGGCGCCUUCCAGUAUCCUGGGAGGCAUGCCUGUCCGAGCGUCGUUUCAACCCUCGAGCCCCCGUGGCCCGGCGUUGGGGACCUGCCCAGGCAGUCCCCGAAAACCAGUGGCGGACCCGACGGGCCCUUCCUUUGCGUAGUAACAUCUGCCUCGCAUCGGGAGCCCCCGGGCUAUCCGGCCUCUAAACCCCCCUCAAGCCCGCUCCGGCGGCACCAAGGUUGACCUCGGAUCAGGUAGGAAUACCCGCUGAACUUAAGCAUAUCAAUAAUCCGGGAGGAA